Molecule: long non-coding RNA, 1513 nt
Organism: Gadus chalcogrammus (walleye pollock)
Lineage: Eukaryota; Metazoa; Chordata; Actinopteri; Gadiformes; Gadidae
Exons: 3
Source: RefSeq, a predicted model, not a curated record
GUCAGUCUGAAACCCCAAACAGACAGCACCUGUAUGAGGUUAAAGAAGGAGCAGGAGCUGCUGAAAGAAGGGGACUUGGAGCUUGUGCGCAAGGCCCUCAGUUUAGAGAUACGCUUUCUACAAUCUAAAUUAGACACCAGAAUGCAAAGCCAGCCACAUUAAGGGGAGCCACACAUACAGGAACUCUUUGUGUUUUAUAGAUUCUUGGACAGUUUGUUUUUAUGUUCCAUUUUAAUUCAAACUUUAUUGAAACUAUGCUUUAAAAAUUACUGCACUGAGUUAAAGAAAAGGUCCCGCCUUCUCAUAUUCAAAGUAAACAUUGAAUAUGAAAUAGUUAUACUGAUACUCCUAAUAGAAUAAUAACUCGCCAAGAAUAUUCAAUUGUUUAAUAAUCUCAUCUAGCUCUGGCAAAUACUUUGUUACUGUUCACGGCUGGUUACAGGUCAUUGACAGUGUUCUAACGCCACCUCCUGGUAUCUCUCUGAUGUUGCAAUCCACCUUUUUUACCUUUAACACUAAGCAGCAUAAGUGAUCACUGGGAGAAGUAAUUUACAUAAUUGAUUAUUAGAGUGCCUUCAGUUCCAAAGGGCAAUUCUUUGGUAGGCCUACUUCUGGUAAAAAUGACUGAAUGUUAAUAAAUGGAUCGAGAAGUCGAUAGCUAUUGAGGUUCUGCAAUCCCAUUUGAUGUGGCCGCGACCCAACUAUGGGAUUGGUUGUAAUAAACAACUAGCAUUAAGCUAAGUCACCCAUAUGCAAUCACAACAUAAUGCAAAUACUGUACAACCCCUUGGCCUUUUGCAUUAUUACAGAGGCAUCCAUUAAAUCUUCGAUUAUAUAUCUCAUACACACACAUGCACAAACUUAGUCUUUAGAACUUGUAGCCCGACUUUAGACAUGUUGACACAAACAUAUACAUCCAUCUUAAUGAAUGUUUUUUUUAUUAAAGAUUCAUUUUUGCAUUUAUACUUUAUUAUAGAGUGAGAUAGACCGGAAGGUAUGGGAGAGAGAGGGGAGGACAUGGAGCAAAGGACCACGGUCAGGAAUCAAACACAGGUCGCUGCGAUCACGACUAGGCCUUAAUUUUACUCGCUCAGAGUAAUGGUGAGCCACCCAUUCCAUCUUAAUUAUUAACUGAAAUCUUUCCGCAACAUCUAAAUCAGUCCCUGAUUUAUGUUAGUUACACUUGAGGGUACUAUUCGUGACAGCUCCAGUUAUCUGUUGUGCUCUCAGCUCGGUGAUAAACUCCUGGAUGACUUCUUCCGGACCCAAGUCUUUUGUUUUCAGGCAAUUUUUCUGGCCCUUAAAAUAUGAUGACGGUUUGGCAGAAAUCUGAGAAGUUGACACUGGAGACCAACAGGCAAAGAGAAGGGAGUGUUACAAGGGACAUGGGGGCAGUUGAAGUCCGGUCAGAAGGGUACAUUUUUUCACUUUUUACACUGUGCAAUAAGUAACCAAACAAUGGUUUUGGUUGGUGUCUGGAUCAAUGCAAUAACAAGUAAUGCAAGAUCGCAAA